Molecule: non-coding RNA, 381 nt
Organism: Pantherophis guttatus
Lineage: Eukaryota; Metazoa; Chordata; Lepidosauria; Squamata; Colubridae
Source: RefSeq, a predicted model, not a curated record
AUUGGAUCCUCCAGAUACUCUCAACAAGCCGACCAGCCUAAUUAACUCUACAAGAUCACAUUUAUGAUCCUGGGAUGGUAGUUUGUUCUGUCUAGCACAGGUCAGAGAAUGAAACCUAAAAACAGUCUAUGGCUUCUCUGAUUGAACAAUAAAGCACAGUCACAGAGCCCAUGAUAUAAGAAGAAAAACUGAUGUUAAGGAAGGGUAUUGCAAAUGUUUAAAGUCUUCAGAAACUGAAAGAUCUUCAAGAAGACACUCAUCUUCAGCUGCAAAUAGGAUUUUACUGUUGCAUUCAGAACUUGGAAGAAGAUAAUCCUCUGCAGAUCCCAUAAUGUAGAUCUUCAAUAAAUUUAAAGGCAAGGAAAUUAUAAUACCAGCAAG